This 84-nucleotide transfer RNA is filed under the name Candidatus Latescibacteria bacterium ADurb.Bin168. Its description in RNAcentral is "tRNA-Leu". It matches the Rfam family "tRNA". Rfam says of the family: Transfer RNA (tRNA) molecules are approximately 80 nucleotides in length. Their secondary structure includes four short double-helical elements and three loops (D, anti-codon, and T loops). RNAcentral also lists the same sequence under 1 other name. The record is from RNAcentral. Lineage: Bacteria; Pseudomonadati; Candidatus Latescibacterota.
GCCGAAGUGGUGGAAUUGGUAGACGCGCCGGACUCAAAAUCCGGUGUCCGCGAGGACGUGUGGGUUCGAUUCCCACCUUCGGCA